GAUGAACGCUGGCGGCGUGCUUAACACAUGCAAGUCGAACGGUGAAGGCGGAGCUUGCUCUGCUGGAUCAGUGGCGAACGGGUGAGUAACACGUGAGCAAUCUGCCCCUGACUCUGGGAUAAGCGCUGGAAACGGCGUCUAAUACUGGAUACGAGCUGCGAAGGCAUCUUCAGCAGCUGGAAAGAAUUUCGGUCAGGGAUGAGCUCGCGGCCUAUCAGCUUGUUGGUGAGGUAAUGGCUCACCAAGGCGUCGACGGGUAGCCGGCCUGAGAGGGUGACCGGCCACACUGGGACGGGGCCACGGCCCGGACUCCUCCGGGAGGCAGCAGUGGGGAAUAUUGCACAAUGGGCGAAAGCCUGAUGCAGCAACGCCGCGUGAGGGACGACGGCCUUCGGGUUGAAAACCUCUUUUAGCAGGGAAGAAGCGAAAGUGACGGUACCUGCAGAAAAAGCGCCGGCUAACUA
RNAcentral lists this ribosomal RNA (464 nucleotides) under uncultured bacterium. RNAcentral describes it as "partial 16S ribosomal RNA". It matches the Rfam family "Bacterial small subunit ribosomal RNA", at positions 28 to 503 of the family's 1533-position model. The record is from RNAcentral.